UGAAGUUAACCAGCUAAUUACUACGAUAACAAAAUGCAUUUCGUGUUCAUUGCGAAGGUUACAUGUUAAGAAUGUUGUCAUAAAUUUUAAUAUUCCAUGUUAGUGUUGAUGUUAUGAGUACUAAUAUCAAGGUUUGAAUAUAACUGCAAUUGAAACAUGAUUUAAUCCCUGAGAGUCGCUGCCUCAAGCAUUGCCUAAACAUUUUCAGAAAUUCCCAAAAUACUAUUUCAAUACCCAACACAAUUGAAAAGGCAAUUUUAUAUUUUAUCAGCUUUAUGCAAAAAAAGGAUGCAAGAAAGAUUCAUUAGGAGGCAUGAUGUGAUGCACGUGAUGAUGAAGGUUUAACGACGCUAAUGGUUAUCAGGAAUGCCAGGUCCAUAGCCGCCUACUCGUCUUUCUCCUGGCUUCAGUUUUCUCAAUGCCGAGGGUCGUGACCACCAAAAACAACAACAGUUUGCUGUGAAUUACUCAGCUCCAUUUGUACCUAUCUGUCACAGACUAUAGAGUAUUGUGGACUAUGGUGUCGGUACUAAUGCUAGUAAUAUAGCUGCCUACAAC
Molecule: long non-coding RNA, 558 nt
Organism: Bombyx mori (domestic silkworm)
Lineage: Eukaryota; Metazoa; Arthropoda; Insecta; Lepidoptera; Bombycidae
Exons: 2
Source: RefSeq, a predicted model, not a curated record